CCUACGGGGGGCUGCAGUGGGGAAUUUUGGACAAUGGGCGAAAGCCUGAUCCAGCAAUGCCGCGUGAGUGAAGAAGGCCUUCGGGUUGUAAAGCUCUUUUGUUUGGGAAGAAAUCCCUAAGGAUAAUACCCUUGGGGGAUGACGGUACCAAAAGAAUAAGCACCGGCUAACUACGUGCCAGCAGCCGCGGUAAUACGUAGGGUGCAAGCGGUGAUCGGAAUUACUGGGGGUGGUUUUUGAAGAGGCGGGUGAAAGCCCCGAGCACAACUUGGGAACUGCCCUUGUGACUGCAAGACUAGAGUGUGUCAGAGGGAGGUAGAAUUCCACGUGUAGCAGUGAAAUGCGUAGAUAUGUGGAAGAAUACCAGUGGCGAAGGCGGCCUCCUGGGAUAACACUGACGCUCAUGUACGAAAGCGUGGGGAGCAAACAGGAUUAGAUACCCCGGUAGUC
This 450-nucleotide ribosomal RNA is filed under the name uncultured bacterium. RNAcentral's name for it is "partial 16S ribosomal RNA". It matches the Rfam family "Bacterial small subunit ribosomal RNA", at positions 338 to 795 of the family's 1533-position model. The record is from RNAcentral.